This 491-nucleotide ribosomal RNA is filed under the name uncultured bacterium. RNAcentral's name for it is "partial 16S ribosomal RNA". It matches the Rfam family "Bacterial small subunit ribosomal RNA", at positions 29 to 506 of the family's 1533-position model. The record is from RNAcentral.
AGUGAACGCUGGCGGUAGGCCUAACACAUGCAAGUCGAACGGCAGCACAGUAAGAGCUUGCUCUUACGGGUGGCGAGUGGCGGACGGGUGAGGAAUACAUCGGAAUCUACUUUUUCGUGGGGGAUAACGUAGGGAAACUUACGCUAAUACCGCAUACGACCUACGGGUGAAAGCAGGGGAUCUUCGGACCUUGCGCGAUUGAAUGAGCCGAUGUCGGAUUAGCUAGUUGGCGGGGUAAAGGCCCACCAAGGCGACGAUCCGUAGCUGGUCUGAGAGGAUGGUCAGCCACACUGGAACUGAGACACGGUCCAGACUCCUACGGGAGGCAGCAGUGGGGAAUAUUGGACAAGGGGCGCAAGCCUGAUCCAGCCAUACCGCGUGGGUGAAGAAGGCCUUCGGGUUGUAAAGCCCUUUUGUUGGGAAAAAAAAGCAGCAGGUUAAUACCCCGCUGUUCUGACGGUACCCAAAGAAUAAGCACCGGCUAACUUCUU